GACGAACGCUGGCGGCGUGCUUAACACAUGCAAGUCGAACGGAAAGGCCCUGCUUUUGUGGGGUGCUCGAGUGGCGAACGGGUGAGUAACACGUGAGUAACCUGCCCUUGACUUUGGGAUAACUUCAGGAAACUGGGGCUAAUACCGGAUAGGAGCUCCUGCUGCAUGGUGGGGGUUGGAAAGUUUCGGCGGUUGGGGAUGGACUCGCGGCUUAUCAGCUUGUUGGUGGGGUAGUGGCUUACCAAGGCUUUGACGGGUAGCCGGCCUGAGAGGGUGACCGGCCAAAUGGGGCCUGGGAUACGGCCCAGACUCCUACGGGGGGCAGCGGGGGGGAAUAUUGCAAAAGGGGGGGAAGCCGGAUGCAGAAACGCCGCGGGGGGGAUGACGGCCUUGGGGUUGUAAACCGCUUUCGCCUGGGACGAAGCGUGGGUGACGGUAAUGGGUAAAGAAACACCGGCUAACUACGU
Molecule: ribosomal RNA, 467 nt
Filed under: uncultured bacterium
Lineage: Bacteria
Description: partial 16S ribosomal RNA
Rfam family: Bacterial small subunit ribosomal RNA
Source: RNAcentral